Long non-coding RNA from Drosophila ananassae, 1594 nucleotides. RefSeq lists it as uncharacterized. NCBI's taxonomy places the organism in Eukaryota, Metazoa, Arthropoda, Insecta, Diptera, Drosophilidae. The record is from RefSeq and is a predicted model, not a curated record. The transcript is spliced from 3 exons.
AUAUCUUCAAAGUUAUAAGAUAACGUUUAAAGGAGCUUUUAAACUUGCAUUGCAAUUUACAACACUGGCAAUUGCCAUCCGAUCGCUUGAAAGGAGGUGUUGGCAACUCUGCCAAUUGACGCGCAAAAUUCCAUGGGAAAUCAGAUAAAAAAAAGUGCAUAAUCCUAAUCUCUUCUAAUUGGGUGUAAUUUGCUGCGAAUGUGGCGCCAAUCAGCUAUUUUUAUCCGGAUCAUAACGACAAAAACGAAGUAAAUUACUUGGCCAUAUGGAAGCAGCCUCAUACAGUUGUUCGGGCUUCCAUGAAAGGCACAAAAUACUCGCAGUCUCGACCCUCCUCAAAAUAAUAUGUGAGUCUCGUCGCAGGCAAAAUGCUGCCGCCCAGCAAGGCGGCCUGUGGUCCAAGUCCAGGCAACAGGAAUCAAAUCAAAAUCAACCUAAGCUGGGUAAGCUGGGUCGGGGAUGGGUGAGGCAGGCACUAACAUCAAGGAUCUCAUAGAGAAAUGCUCAAAACACACACUGAAAGGACUGCUGUGCGCUCUUAGCCCAUUACCAGGAUGAAAAGUUGCCAAGAAGAGAAACAGGACGGAGAAUGCACUUCAUAGGGUAGUAACUUAUACGCAGAUUAUUAAGAAUUCUGCCGACUUAAUAUUAAAUAAUCUCUUUUCGAGGAAGAGAUACUUAUGGUAGCUUCAAGAACUCUUCCGGGUCUCAUGCACCCCGUAGAGCAUUGGGUCUUCGAUCGAAGUUUCUCGCCCGAGCCUGGCACACUCGAGUACAUACGCAUGCAGCAGGCUCGUUAUAUCCACAUCCUGUCAAAUGUGCGCCUCAUGCGUCCCCAAUUCGAUGAAGCGUUGCUCGCCUGCUCGGCUCGUUAGCUGGUUCGUUUUUGCAUACUCCGGCCGAGCGACGAACUGGGCCCCCUCCGCCCAUCCUGGACGCUUCAUCCACUCUUGGCCGACAAUUGCCACCACCGAAAGCCGCCGCCAGUAGCGUCGGCCCGACCGCCGACUGCAGCCCGCCCAGGUCUCUCACCUCCCAGGAACGGCAACAGCAGCAGCAGCAAAAGAAGCAGCAUAAACGGCAGCAGCAGAGUCGCACAGUCAGCCCGAAAGCAACGCCGAGCCAUAGCCAUAACAUCCCAUCCUUCCCCCGCCAUCCCCCGGCGAAACUAUGGCUGUGGAAGGCGCUCGGUGUGUUACACAGACACGGCUGAAAUGAGACGACAAACAACCAUAAUAAUCGACCGACCCACUGGCACGGUGGGACCAAAAGGCCCGGUGCCGGCACACGGUUAGCGAAAAAUAUGUCUCGAAUGCGACUGUUUCUGAAUCUUGAAAUAUUGAGAAUUAAUCCUGGUUUUUGUAACAUCAACCCCUUGCUUUGUAGGAACCCUUGCUAUGCCUUGGGGUAAAGGUCAAUGAUCUGUAAAAUAUCCUUGUCCCAUCAAAGGAUACAGUUUGUAAAGUCCAUACAGAAAUUAUAUGAAAUUUAAUAGGGAAGUAGAUUGAUUAAUUAUCUUAUGAGGAGAUAUUUUGUAUUCCUGAUUCCGUACCAUUAUGGAGUUAUGGAACUGCAUCCGAAGUAGUUUAGGAAA